AUGCACGCUGGCGGCGUGCUUAACACAUGCCCGUCGAACGAAGCACUUUAUUUGAUUUCCUUCGGGACUGAUUAUUUUGUGACUGAGUGGCGGACGGGUGAGUAACGCGUGGGUAACCUGCCUUGUACAGGGGGAUAACAGUUGGAAACGGCUGCUAAUACCGCAUAAGCGCACGGCAUCGCAUGAUGCAGUGUGAAAAACUCCGGUGGUAUAAGAUGGACCCGCGUUGGAUUAGCUAGUUGGUGAGGUAACGGCCCACCAAGGCGACGAUCCAUAGCCGACCUGAGAGGGUGACCGGCCACAUUGGGACUGAGACACGGCCCAAACUCCUACGGGAGGCAGCAGUGGGGAAUAUUGCACAAUGGGCGAAAGCCUGAUGCAGCGACGCCGCGUGAGCGAAGAAGUAUUUCGGUAUGUAAAGCUCUAUCAGCAGGGAAGAUAAUGACGGUACCUGACGAAGAAGCACCGGCUAAAUACGUG
RNAcentral lists this ribosomal RNA (480 nucleotides) under uncultured bacterium. Its description in RNAcentral is "partial 16S ribosomal RNA". It matches the Rfam family "Bacterial small subunit ribosomal RNA", at positions 29 to 507 of the family's 1533-position model. The record is from RNAcentral.